UCCAUCGUGGUGCAGUGGUAGCAUACUGGACUCUCUGUUCAGAGACCCAGAGUUCGAUUCCUGGCGAUGGAA
Phyllosticta capitalensis is the source of this 72-nucleotide non-coding RNA. The record is from the annotation of a GenBank genome assembly. Lineage: Eukaryota; Fungi; Ascomycota; Dothideomycetes; Botryosphaeriales; Phyllostictaceae.